GAAGAUUGAUGUUCAUAUUUGAAAGGAGGUUCUCUGAGCAGUGGCAGGGACAGUGAUGUCAUCACUGGCAAGCCACCCUCCACUCUGGGAGACAAGAGCCCCACUGUUCAUGUUCAUGAGGGCCUCCUGUGGGUGAAGCCUCCCUAUCUCACCUUGCCAUGGUCACCAAGGUACUUUGUUGGGUAGUUCUUUGUUUCCUGGGAGGAGAACCUACAGAUGCUGGCGUCACUCAGACACCCAGGCACAAGGUGACACAGAAAGGACAAACAGUAACUCUGCGAUGUGAACCACAUUCAAACCAUGACACCAUUUUCUGGUACAGACAGACUAUGGUGCAGGGGCUGGAGCUGCUGGUUUACUCUAACAACAAGCUUCUUGUGGAUGAUUCAGGGAUGCCCAAGGACCGAUUCUCGGCUGCCAUGCCUGAGGCCUCCUUCUCCACCAUGAAGAUCCAGCCCACAGCACCUGGGGACUCAGCUGUGUACCUCUGUGCCAGCAGCUUAGCCACAGCGCUGCAGAACCACCCUGUGCAGGUGCAGAAACCUGUCUCCUCUUUCCAUCUGUAUGGCUCCAUCCGCCAUUCCUCACCUCAUUCAGAUCGCUGA
Marmota flaviventris (yellow-bellied marmot) is the source of this 605-nucleotide non-coding RNA. NCBI's taxonomy places the organism in Eukaryota, Metazoa, Chordata, Mammalia, Rodentia, Sciuridae. The record is from the annotation of a RefSeq genome assembly.